Molecule: non-coding RNA, 658 nt
Organism: Schizosaccharomyces pombe (fission yeast)
Lineage: Eukaryota; Fungi; Ascomycota; Schizosaccharomycetes; Schizosaccharomycetales; Schizosaccharomycetaceae
Source: the annotation of a GenBank genome assembly
AUAUUGUGCUGAAUUUCUUCAGGCAUUGAGUUACUGAGACCAUUGGGAUACCACCAAGAAUUGGGGUCCAAUCCUUCCGGUUCCAGCCAAAUAAGAUGUCUUGCUUUGUGAGGGAAUCUUGUAACCUUGGCUUCCAAUGACGGGCAAUACCUUGGAGAAAGAAUAUCACCAGCAAGCAUAUGGGGAGCAAAAGCGAGAUUUUUCCUAACAAUUUCAUGCGUCAAUUCAGUUGUAUAAGUUCUGUAGCAAGAACGUUGUGGCAAUGCCGGUGAAAAAUCCCUUUCCAAAUUUAAAAAACUAAAUGUUUCUGGAAUUUCGUCACCUGUCUGCUCUGUCAUUUUUGAUAUAUUUAUGGGAGAGCUCAAUCUGGGAGGUGUACCUGUUUUUAGUCGACCCAUUUUAAAACCUAAAUUGCUAAGACAUUUACUCAAAGGCAAUGAAGGUCGCUCGCCAUAUCGACCAGCAGCUAACUGUGUUAAACCAACAUUUAUUUGUCCUCCUAAGAAAGUACCAGUAGUAAUGACUAUACAACUGGCAGGAAUAGCAGUGCCAUCUUCAAGAACAAUUGAAUCACAAACUUGUUUACCAUCGUCUUCUGUCAAAACAUUAAUAGAGACGGCCGCGCCUUCUCUAACUUGAAGAUUUUUUCUAUAAGUUG